CCUACGGGUGGCAGCAGUGAGGAAUAUUGGUCAAUGGGCGUAAGCCUGAACCAGCCAAGUCGCGUGAGGGCUGAAGGUUCUAUGGAUCGUAACCCUCUUUUAUAAGGGAAUAAAGUGUGGGACGUGUCCUGUUUUGUAUGUACCUUAUGAAUAAGGAUCGGCUAACUCCGUGCCAGCCGCCGCGGUAAUACGGAGGCUCCGCGCGUUAUCCGGAUUUAUUGGGUUUAAAGGGUGCGUAGGCGGCCGUUUAAGUCAGCGGUGAAAGUCUGUGGCUCAACCAUAGAAUUGCCGUUGAAACUGGGAGGCUUGAGUAUGGUUGAGGCAGGCGGAAUGCGUGGUGUAGCGGUGAAAUGCUUAGAUAUCACGCAGAACCCCGAUUGCGAAGGCAGCCUGCCAAGCCAUGACUGACGCUGAUGCACGAAAGCGUGGGGAUCAAACAGGAUUAGAUACCCCAGUAGUC
RNAcentral lists this ribosomal RNA (460 nucleotides) under uncultured bacterium. RNAcentral describes it as "partial 16S ribosomal RNA". It matches the Rfam family "Bacterial small subunit ribosomal RNA", at positions 338 to 795 of the family's 1533-position model. The record is from RNAcentral.